Molecule: ribosomal RNA, 468 nt
Filed under: uncultured bacterium
Lineage: Bacteria
Description: partial 16S ribosomal RNA
Rfam family: Bacterial small subunit ribosomal RNA
Source: RNAcentral
GACGAACGCUGGCGGCGUGCUUAACACAUGCAAGUCGAACGGAAAGGCCCUGCUUUUGUGGGGUGCUCGAGUGGCGAACGGGUGAGUAACACGUGAGUAACCUGCCCUUGACUUUGGGAUAACUUCAGGAAACUGGGGCUAAUACCGGAUAGGAGCUCCUGCUGCAUGGUGGGGGUUGGAAAGUUUCGGCGGUUGGGGAUGGACUCGCGGCUUAUCAGCUUGUUGGUGGGGUAGUGGCUUACCAAGGCUUUGACGGGUAGCCGGCCUGAGAGGGUGACCGGCCACAUUGGGACUGAGAUACGGCCCCGACUCCUUCGGGAGGCAGCAGUGGGGUAUAUUGCACAAUUGGCGGAAGCCUUAUGCCGCAACGCCGCGUGCGUGAUGUUGGCCUUCGGGUUGUAAUCCGCUUUCGCCUGUGACGAAGCGUGAUUGACGGUAAUGGGUAAAGAAGCACCGGCUAACUACGUG